AUUAGCUAGUUGGUAAGGUAAAAGCUUACCAAGGCGACGAUGGGUAGCCGACCUGAGAGGGUGAUCGCCCACACUGGAACUGAGACACGGUCCAGACUCUUACGGGAGGCAGCAGUGGGGAAUAUUGCACAAUGGGCGAAAGCCUGAUGCAGCAGCGCCGCGUGAGCGAUGAAGGUCUUCGGAUCGUAAAGCUCUGUCCUCAAGGAAGAAUUUUGACGGUACUUGAGGAGGAAGCCCCGGCUAACUACGUGCCAGCAGCCGCGGUAAUACGUAGGGGGCUAGCGUUAUCCGGAAUUAUUGGGCGUAAAGGGUGCGUAGGCGGUCCUACAAGUCAGAGGUGAAAGGCUACGGCUCAACCGUAGUAAGCCUUUGAAACUGUAGGACUUGAGUGCAGGAGAGGAGAGUGGAAUUCCCAGUGUAGCGGUGAAAUGCGUAGAUAUUGGGAGGAACACCAGUUGCGAAGGCGGCUCUCUGGACUGUAACUGACGCUGAGGCACGAAAGCGUGGGGAGCGAACAGGAUUAGAUACCCUGGUAGUCCACGCCGU
Molecule: ribosomal RNA, 546 nt
Filed under: uncultured bacterium
Lineage: Bacteria
Description: bacterial SSU rRNA
Rfam family: Bacterial small subunit ribosomal RNA
Source: RNAcentral